GUUCCUGUAGUUGAGUCAACGGUGGCUUUUCAAGCCAUAGAUCUUGGAGAGAGGCCAAGUAGGAACU
This 67-nucleotide transfer RNA is filed under the name Tachybaptus novaehollandiae (Australasian grebe). RNAcentral's name for it is "tRNA-Glu". It matches the Rfam family "tRNA". From Rfam's summary of the family: Transfer RNA (tRNA) molecules are approximately 80 nucleotides in length. Lineage: Eukaryota; Metazoa; Chordata; Aves; Podicipediformes; Podicipedidae. The record is from RNAcentral.